GAUGAACGCUGGCGGCGCGCCUAAUACAUGCAAGUCGAGCGAACAGAUAAGGAGCUUGCUCCUUUGACGUUAGCGGCGGACGGGUGAGUAACACGUGGGUAACCUACCUAUAAGACUGGGAUAACUUCGGGAAACCGGAGCUAAUACCGGAUAAUAUUUCGAACCGCAUGGUUCGAUAGUGAAAGAUGGUUUUGCUAUCACUUAUAGAUGGACCCGCGCCGUAUUAGCUAGUUGGUAAGGUAACGGCUCACCAAGGCGGCGAUACGUAGCCGACCUGAGAGGGUGAUCGGCCACACUGGAACUGAGACACGGUCCAGACUCCUACGGGAGGCAGCAGUAGGGAAUCUUCCGCAAUGGGCGAAAGCCUGACGGAGCAACGCCGCGUGAGUGAUGAAGGUCUUCGGAUCGUAAAACUCUGUUAUUAGGGAAGAACAUACGUGUAAGUAACUGUGCACGUCUUGACGGUACCUAAUCAGAAAGCCACGGCUAACUACGUG
RNAcentral lists this ribosomal RNA (497 nucleotides) under uncultured bacterium. Its description in RNAcentral is "partial 16S ribosomal RNA". It matches the Rfam family "Bacterial small subunit ribosomal RNA", at positions 28 to 507 of the family's 1533-position model. The record is from RNAcentral.